RNAcentral lists this ribosomal RNA (379 nucleotides) under uncultured eukaryote. RNAcentral describes it as "partial 18S ribosomal RNA". It matches the Rfam family "Eukaryotic small subunit ribosomal RNA", at positions 592 to 976 of the family's 1831-position model. The record is from RNAcentral.
CAAUAGCGUAUAUUAAAGUUGUUGCAGUUAAAAAGCUCGUAGUUGAACUUCAGACCUGGCCGGGCGGUCCGCCUAACGGUGUGUACUGUCUGGCUGGGUCUUACCUCUUGGUGAGCCGGCAUGCCCUUCACUGGGUGUGUCGGGGAACCAGGACUUUUACCUUGAGAAAAUUAGAGUGUUCAAAGCAGGCAUAUGCCCGAAUACAUUAGCAUGGAAUAAUAAAAUAGGACGCGCGGUUCUAUUUUGUUGGUUUCUAGAGUCGCCGUAAUGAUUAAUAGGGAUAGUUGGGGGCAUUAGUAUUCAGUUGCUAGAGGUGAAAUUCUUGGAUUUACUGAAGACUAACUACUGCGAAAGCAUUUGCCAAGGAUGUUUUCAUUAA